Molecule: long non-coding RNA, 501 nt
Organism: Mauremys reevesii (Reeves's turtle)
Lineage: Eukaryota; Metazoa; Chordata; Testudines; Geoemydidae
Exons: 2
Source: RefSeq, a predicted model, not a curated record
CUAGUUUACCCCCCAUCAGUUUACCUAUUAAUGGGGAUUUCUCAACGGAAAAGGCAUCACACAUCACAUCAAACAGGAAAUUUUGUUUUUCAGCAAUGACUGAGCAGCAGCCGACUCACCCAUUGACAAUUCAUAGGGGACUAUGUCAGUGGGAAGGAUCACUGGUGACAAACCAAACCAUGUGCUGCUGUGGGAGUCUCACCCGCAACAUGGACCUCAUUCAAUCGCCAUUCAGCUUUACCAUCAAAUGGUUUUCACACCCAAUUGCUCUUCUUUGUUCCUGGCACGGAUAUGAGCCCUUAGCCCCUAUUCAAACUAAGUACAUUGUCAGGGCUUUAUGAAAAGAACAAGCCACAAACCUGCUGGAGGUUCAGAACUGCGCAUCAACAAAGCAUGGUCCUUAUCCUUCUGCUUUGCCAUCCAUCCCAGAAGUCAGCACCCAGAUUUGUGGUAGAACUUAAUGAUUUCUACAUAACGUUUACUUUAAAAAAUUCACAAGUU